AGAGUUUGAUCCUGGCUCAGAACGAACGCUGGCGGCAGGCCUAAUACAUGCAAGUCGAGCGCGCCCUUCGGGGUGAGCGGCGGACGGGUGAGUAACGCGUGGGAACCUGCCUUUUUCUGCGGGAUAACGGUUGGAAACGACCGCUAAUACCGCAUACGCCCUACGGGGGAAAGGUCCGCCGGAGAAAGAGGGGCCCGCGUCUGAUUAGCUAGUUGGUAGGGUAACGGCCUACCAAGGCGACGAUCAGUAGCUGGUCUGAGUGGAUGAUCAGCCACACUGGGACUGAGACACGGCCCAGACUCCUACGGGAGGCAGCAGUGGGGAAUAUUGGACAAUGGGGGCAACCCUGAUCCAGCAAUGCCGCGUGUGUGAUGAAGGCCUUAGGGUUGUAAAGCACUUUCACUGGUGAAGAUGAUGACGGUAGCAGUAGAAGAAACCCCGGCUAACUCCGUGCCAGCAGCCGCGGUAAU
RNAcentral lists this ribosomal RNA (470 nucleotides) under uncultured bacterium. Its description in RNAcentral is "bacterial SSU rRNA". It matches the Rfam family "Bacterial small subunit ribosomal RNA", at positions 8 to 524 of the family's 1533-position model. The record is from RNAcentral.